AUGUUUAUAAAAUAUGUAAAAACUUAAUUUUACUUAACUCUACAAAAAAUAUUAAGAGAGAAAAUAAAGGCCAAUUAAAAACUGGAAAUUAGUCUUUUAUUAUAAAAGCAUGUAAUAAUUAAUAUAUACUUCCGAACACAUAGAGUGGAAUUCUGUACGAUACGCGUCAUAAUUUCGAGCCAGUACUGUUCCCUCGACUGAUGACACGCAGUUAAAAAUAAAGAAAUUAAGAAACGAGAAAAGCAGGAAAGACAAUAGGAACGAACGCCAGAGUCAGCGUACUAAAGUGCAAAACUGCGUCGGCUCUGUAUGUAACGGAAUCACGCUAGAAGAAUGAGAAAUGUGUGUGUGUAUGUGUGCGUGCGUGCGUGUGAACGAGGAUCAGCGAUAUGUAUAUUAAUUUCGCGUGUGCGUGUUCCGAUUUCGCGCACGAUUACAUAUAACGUGCGAUCACGCGCGGACAGGACUUCUAUUUGUCGCGUGUAUACAACGAGCGAACGCGUUGAAGCGGGACGAUUUACUGGAACGGUCCGCGUACGCACUAAAAGCAAACGAGAAGAGCCUUCGCAAACGGUGAUGUUAGACAUAUAUGAUUUUGUAGCUACGUAGAAUUAUUAACGCGCCUAAGGCGGACGGCCGAUAUAUCGAGGUCAAGAUUCAAGUCUCGCCGAUCUGCGAAAGUUGCACCGCGCUUUUUAGCACAAAAACGGACGGAAAAAUUUAAGAAAAAAUACAAAAAGUGUUUUCUCUAAAUUACAUUUUAGAAACAUAUAAAAUGUACGCCGUCUCAUGAUGUUGCUUCAGGACUUGCGGUUGUGUUAGUUCAGGUUUUGUAUAUCGUUAAAAUAGAACAUCACAAAAAAAGACAAAUUCGCUAUGAACAAUCAGUAUUAAGCUGGGGUGCCGUGUACACGGAGCGAGCGAAUAACGAACAAACGCGGAGAAUUGAAUUCCAAUCGCAUUGAUCUAUUCGGCCAGUUGACUAAUCAAAUGUUCGCAUUCGCUGUUCGUGCGCUGUUCGUUGUGAAGAUCGUUAGAUUUUCGUAUUCCGUUUGAUGAUAUCUGAUCACGAUGAGACAAAAGUUGUCGUCGUGCGCUACAUCGGGUGUCCAACAAUGUGCCCAUCAUUGUACGAUGCGAGACAACGGUAUAUCUCGGAUCCGUCUUCUGAUCCUGUCGGUGUCAGUAUCAAUGUCAAGCUACUGUCGCUGUUCGGGAUGGUUCACGGCAUAAAUUAGUUUAUAAAUAAAUAUGAUAUUGUUGCGCGUGGUAUGUGAUGUGUGUGUGUGUGUGUGUGUGUGUGCGGAUGCGUGCGUGCAUGAGUGCGUGCGUAUCGUGAGUAAAACGAUACGUGUAAUAAUUUCUACGUGAUACAGUACAUAUACGCAUGGGACGACGAAUGACACACGAAUCCCUGUACAGAAUCCUUGUACAUAUUCGACGAUUGUGAUUAAUGAUUAAAUAACGUCGCCGUUUUUAACGUGCGGCAGACUCGGACUCUUUAAAUAUACCUAAUGUAAAGUACAACCCCGUGCACAAUCGAAACAAAACUAUUUCUCUACUUUAAUUAAAAACGACACAUAACGCGCGGAGAUCAAUGUAGAGGCGUGUAUGAAUAUUUCGUCAUUCCUAAUAUUGGUUAAAUGUCGAUUUUUCAGUGUACUAAGAACGGGACGUCUUUUAACACACAUCAACACUCGCGUUGCACAAAAUUACGAAUUUACAAUCUUGUCGAAGCAUAUAUUUGAUUAGUCGAUGAAUAAUUAGCCGAUCAUGUAAAGUGUAACAAGAUGAAAAACAGAUUUCAGAAUUUCUCUGCUUUCGAUUGAUCUUCGCACACACACCAAUUAGCCGAUUUGAAAUUUUUGUCGACAGACAGACGAGUGCGAAUUAUAAUUAAAUGCAAUCAACGAAGUGAAUAAAUUUGUGAAAUUACACACAAGGUCCUUUAUAUUCUGUGUCCCCGAUGUAAGAUAUUAUUCGAUAUCGAGAUUUUCUGAUUUCCGAGAAAAGCACGUAGCUAUGUUUUAUUUACGCUUGGUGACGUUUAAAUUGUACUCUCGCAAUUCUCGUCUCGCUGACGGAUAUACGGCAAACGGACAAAAAACAAUUUGAUUAAUGCAUUAUUAUGUAUGUAAGAAAAGAUAUGUCACGUAAUUAAUAAUGACGUAUCCGAAAAUUUCUCGAGAAAAUAAAAUAUGGAUCUAAUUCCACAUCGCAUUCCCCGCCGCUGCAUUUUUAGCAAUAAUAAUAAUUAGUGACAACAACACACAGUUUACGUCAUGAUUUUUCUUUAUUGUCUCGCAUCAAAGCUGGAUUUUCCCGAAUCUUUCUCGGUAUGUGAUGAAGAUUUACAUGUGUGUGUGUGUGUGUGUGUGUGUGUGUGACAAAAGAAAAUAAAAGCGGUUCUUUUUUUUUUAAAUGAAUCUUACGCGGUUUUUUGUAAAACAUUCUGUUAUGUGUCGAAAUUUGCAAUUGAGUGACUCGUACAUUAGAGGAUGUACAAUGCAAACAGCAAUUAUACUCAAUGAGUCGGUGAACAAAAUGUUAUUCGUCCAGUCAACGUAUAGAUAACCGUUAAUUUUUUUUUUUUUUUUUUUUUACUUUGACCGAUGAAACAAGCAUUACAUCGCACGCGAAUAACGCGAUUACAGUUUCGUCGUGAAAGAGUUGGAGAUGAAGACAGAGAUAGUUGUUUAUCAGUUGGCACGCACACGAACGUACACAUGUACAUAUGUUUUAGUUGUCGUUUCAGCGAGACAAUUUGUCGCUAGUAUCGAAUCUGCGAGAUUAUCAUCUUGACAUUCACUAAUCCCGGAAGGAAGAAGGAGACUCUCGAGAGAAGAAGAAAAAAAUCCUUAAAGAACAUUUUCCUUUCUUUCUUCUACUCUUAGAAGGUCAUCUCGCGCGUGCGGUUCGAAAUUCUCGGGAGAGACCACACGAUGUCGCGCAUGCAGUGUGUGUGUGAUAAUGAAAUAAAAAAACAAUGAACAAUCAAUCAUCAAAUCUGAAUGCUUUUAAAGAGCGAACGUAUUUGUACAAUAAUAAGAUUUGUAUCGCGCUCACGAUAAUUUUUCCAAAUUAAUUAAUUUAAACCUUACAUAUACCUACAUACUCUACAAAUACACGAGAUGUAAAAAAUAAUGUACAAAAAAUGUACAAUAUAUAAGUCAUAUGUCACAAUUUACAAUCGCAACAAAUCGUUUUAUUAAAACUCUAAUAACAAAAAAAAAAAAAAAAGAAUUUAUUUUGGUGUUAAAUUAUUUAUCUAACAUUUCAAUGCUAACAGCCUUCCUUUAUACGCAGAAUAUUAUAAAACACGUAUUGCUACGCGUUGACUCUUGAACAGAGAUGAUUGUGCUUACCAAGCGCGCAGAUUGAAACCGAAUACAUUCGUUCGGUCAUAAAACUAUAACGCUCUCACCGGAAUGGUGUGAUGUCCGUGGAGUAAAAUGCUGCAAUUCUUAAGCGAAUGAACAAAUCGUAAAAUUAUAAAAUUGUUGCUUACGAAGCAAACAUAAAAAUCUGAGUUAGUUUUUAUGUAAACUGCAAUCUUGCACUAAUGUGAGACAAAGGCAAGGAUUGUAGUUUUAGUCGUAAGUUCUUACGAGAGUUUGAAAAAUCUUAUAAUUUUUUUGUCAGGAGAAUUGCAGCAUUAUCUCUAUCUUUUCCGAUGAAAGGUUUCCAACUCCAAAAAAAAAAAAAAAAAAAAAAA
Pseudomyrmex gracilis is the source of this 3715-nucleotide long non-coding RNA. RefSeq lists it as uncharacterized. The transcript is spliced from 2 exons. The record is from RefSeq and is a predicted model, not a curated record. NCBI's taxonomy places the organism in Eukaryota, Metazoa, Arthropoda, Insecta, Hymenoptera, Formicidae.